This 466-nucleotide ribosomal RNA is filed under the name uncultured Glomus. Its description in RNAcentral is "SSU rRNA". It matches the Rfam family "Eukaryotic small subunit ribosomal RNA", at positions 569 to 1040 of the family's 1831-position model. Lineage: Eukaryota; Fungi; Glomeromycota; Glomeromycetes; Glomerales; Glomeraceae. The record is from RNAcentral.
AGCAGCCGCGGUAAUUCCAGCUCCAAUAGCGUACAUUAAAGUUGUUGCAGUUAAAAAGCUCGUAGUUGAAUUUCGGGGUCAGUAGGUUGGUCGUGCCACCGGUACGUACUGGUCUCACUGAUUCCUCCUUCCUGAAGAACCGUAAUGCCAUUAAUUUGGUGUUGCGGGGAAACAGGACUGUUACUUUGAAAAAUUAGAGUGUUUAAAGCAAGCUAACGCUUGAAUACAUUAGCAUGGAAUAAUGAAAUAGGACGAUCGAUCCUAUUUUGUUGGUUUCUAGGAUUGACGUAAUGAUUAAUAGGGAUAGUUGGGGGCAUUAGUAUUCAAUUGUCAGAGGUGAAAUUCUUGGAUUUAUUGAAGACUAACUACUGCGAAAGCAUUUUGCCAAGGAUGUUUUCAUUAAUCAAGAACGAAGUUAGGGGAUCGAAGACGAUCAGAUACCGUCGUAGUCUUAACCAUAAACUAU